UACGUAGGUGGCAAGCGUUGUCCGGAUUUACUGGGCGUAAAGGGCGUGCAGGCGGUCUGUUAAGUGCAGGGUGAAAGCUCCCGGCUCAACUGGGAGAGGUCCUUGCAUACUGGCGGACUUGAGGGGGGUAGAGGAAAGUGGAAUUCCCGGUGUAGUGGUGAUAUGCGUAGAUAUCGGGAGGAACACCUGUGGCGAAGGCGGCUUUCUGGGCCCUACCCGACGCUGAGACGCGAAAGCGUGGGGAGCGAACCGG
This 253-nucleotide ribosomal RNA is filed under the name uncultured bacterium. RNAcentral's name for it is "partial 16S ribosomal RNA". It matches the Rfam family "Bacterial small subunit ribosomal RNA", at positions 524 to 776 of the family's 1533-position model. The record is from RNAcentral.